RNAcentral lists this ribosomal RNA (263 nucleotides) under uncultured bacterium. RNAcentral's name for it is "partial 16S ribosomal RNA". It matches the Rfam family "Bacterial small subunit ribosomal RNA", at positions 524 to 786 of the family's 1533-position model. The record is from RNAcentral.
UACGUAGGUGGCGAGCGUUGUCCGGAAUUACUGGGCGUAAAGGAUGCGUAGGCGGACAUUUAAGUCAGAUGUGAAACCCCCAGGCUUAACUUGGGGACUGCAUUUGAAACUGGGUGUCUAGAGUGCAGGAGAGGUAAGUGGAAUUCCUAGUGUAGCGGUGAAAUGCGUAGAGAUUAGGAAGAACACCAGUGGCGAAGGCGACUUACUGGACUGUAACUGACGCUGAGGCAUGAAAGCGUGGGUAGCAAACAGGAUUAGAUACC